Molecule: ribosomal RNA, 397 nt
Filed under: uncultured bacterium
Lineage: Bacteria
Description: bacterial SSU rRNA
Rfam family: Bacterial small subunit ribosomal RNA
Source: RNAcentral
AUUGAACGCUGGCGGCAUGCCUUACACAUGCAAGUCGAACGGCAGCACGGGAGCAAUCCUGGUGGCGAGUGGCGAACGGGUGAGUAAUAUAUCGGAACGUGCCCAGUCGUGGGGAUAACGUAGCGAAAGUUACGCUAAUACCGCAUACGAUCUAAGGAUGAAAGCGGGGGACUCGCAAGAGCCUCGCGCGAUUGGAGCGGCCGAUAUCAGAUUAGGUAGUUGGUGGGGUAAAGGCUCACCAAGCCAACGAUCUGUAGCUGGUCUGAGAGGACGACCAGCCACACUGGAACUGAGACACGGUCCAGACUCCUACGGGAGGCAGCAGUGGGGAAUUUUGGACAAUGGGCGCAAGCCUGAUCCAGCAAUGCCGCGUGCAGGAUGAAGGCCUUCGGGUUGU